RNAcentral lists this long non-coding RNA (245 nucleotides) under Elaeis guineensis (African oil palm). RNAcentral describes it as "long non-coding RNA (EGUI_LNC008808)". Lineage: Eukaryota; Viridiplantae; Streptophyta; Magnoliopsida; Arecales; Arecaceae. The record is from RNAcentral.
GUUCAUGUUGUAUUGGAAUUAUUUUUUUUGAAAAUUAUGGUUUAAUGUUCUAUCUUACACCAUGGGGGGGUGGUGUUGCUGUGAGUCUCCGAAUUGACAUCGGUCGCCCACUGACGUAGAGUUCAGAUCUGCCUUGAGGGCACUUCCUCCUUCAAGAACCUACAAUGAAAGUCCACACAUGCCGGAGAUGCUGCAAUAGGGGACCUUCCCAUACUUAAGUUAGCCGGAGCUUGAGAACAGAGAAG